This 414-nucleotide ribosomal RNA is filed under the name Triticum aestivum (bread wheat). RNAcentral describes it as "partial small subunit ribosomal RNA". The record is from RNAcentral. Lineage: Eukaryota; Viridiplantae; Streptophyta; Magnoliopsida; Poales; Poaceae.
AUGAUGACGACUCCUCCUUCGUCACGGCCUCGGCGGCGCUGCUCGAAGCGCCACAGGGCGGCGUGCUGGCGCUCCGUCGCCAUCUUGAUGGAGUCCUGGCGUGCCCAUUCAAGGGCCGCUUCGUCGUCGAGCUCGACCUCGCCGUGCUCCGUCUUCACCGGCGCGAGCCCCGGCUCCGUCUUUGGCUUGACGAAGCGCGAAGGAGGAGCCGACGAGGAGGCGCGCCGGCCGCCCUCGUUGAUGACGAUGCCGCCGCUGCGAGUGCGCCGACCGAGCGGCGUCUCUGCCGCGGGCUCGGCCUUAACGCCGAGCAGCGUCGGAGUGCCGGAGGAGUGGGAGGAGGAGCGGGAGGAGGAAGAGGAGGAGGACGCGCCGAACCUCCUUGGCGCCCAUUGCCCGUCGCGGUGUCGCUGA